RNAcentral lists this ribosomal RNA (252 nucleotides) under uncultured bacterium. Its description in RNAcentral is "partial 16S ribosomal RNA". It matches the Rfam family "Bacterial small subunit ribosomal RNA", at positions 524 to 776 of the family's 1533-position model. The record is from RNAcentral.
UACGUAGGGUGCAAGCGUUGUCCGGAAUUAUUGGGCGUAAAGCGCGCGCAGGCGGCCGAUUAAGUCUGGUGUUUAACCCCGGGGCUCAACCCCGGGUCGCACUGGAAACUGGUUGGCUUGAGUACAGAAGAGGAAAGUGGAAUUCCACGUGUAGCGGUGAAAUGCGUAGAGAUGUGGAGGAACACCAGUGGCGAAGGCGACUUUCUGGGCUGAAACUGACGCUGAGGAGCGAAAGCGUGGGGAGCAAACAGG